ACAGAGCUGGGGAGAGCUAGAGGGAAGGCUUGGGCACAAGGGACAGCUGGAGACAGGUGGCUGCUAAGAGCUGGUACUGAGACUAUGUAAGGCCUACUUGCCACUGGAGGAGGUGGGAGUGUGUCCUGGGACGAUGGGGCACUAGGGAGGGCUCUGAGCAGGGUAGGGCAGGGUAUUACCAAAAGAAAGAGGCUCUCUGUUUUCAGAUAUGGUGGUAUGAGUGGCUCUGUCACCCAGGGACUCUGAGCACAGUCUGAAGGCUCCUCUCCCAGAAGAAAUGACAUCUGACACUGGUCUGGAGAGAGACCAUGAGUGGGAAGGAUGGAGGGGCAGGGACUUUGUCCAGGGUACUUGGGAGUCAUAGAGAAGUGGAAGUAGGAAGGGGGCAGGGCAGCUCAGGGCUUCUGGAGGUCAGAGGUGGGCUGGAGGGAGAGACUAGAGGCUGGGAAGGGUUUCUGAGUUGGAAAAGAUAAAAGCUUCAGCCAGUCCAAGAGUGCAGGGCUCGGGGGGUGGAGGAAGGACAGGAUUCAAGGCCUGAUAAGCUGUAUGGGGGUUGAAGAGAGAAGCGUCAAAGGCUAGGCUAUGGGCCUCUCCUAUUAUGUGGGAAGGUGGAGGCCUUUCCAGGAUUUCAAACCUUGGCUCUGCCCCCUCACCCCCAGGCUAGCCCCAGAUUCCCGGCUGAACCCCCAUCGCAGUCUCUUGGGCACCGGCAACUAUGAUGUCAACGUGAUCAUGGCUGCCCUGCAGGGCCUGGGCCUGGCCGCUGUGUGGUGGGACAGGAGGAGGUAGGGCCUAGGCAGUGGGCUGCGCUGGCUCUGGGCGUGUGGGAUGACACAGAGGGUGGCUUGAAGGUAGACAGGGGAGGGGUUUUGCCAGGGAGGCUAUGACAGAUGGGGUCUGACUGAAUGGUGGGUUAAACUUAUAAACUUGGUACCAGUCAAAAGGGUAUCUAAAUGAGCAACUCAUGAUUAAGGUGGGAAAGGCAUACGUUAGGUCAAGAGCAGUGGAGCCAGCCUGGACUGCAUGUGGAGAUCCUGGCUCAAAGGGGCCAACAACAAAAAGUUGAGGAGCUGGGGCUGCAUUGGCAGAAGGCCAACCCAGCAGAUACGAGGUCAGGAUUCCUACUCUAUAACCUGCUGUAGUGCUGCACAUCUGGGA
RNAcentral lists this long non-coding RNA (1158 nucleotides) under Rattus norvegicus (Norway rat). RNAcentral describes it as "long non-coding RNA NONRATT000661". Lineage: Eukaryota; Metazoa; Chordata; Mammalia; Rodentia; Muridae. The record is from RNAcentral.